RNAcentral lists this ribosomal RNA (416 nucleotides) under Escherichia coli IS9. RNAcentral describes it as "LSU rRNA". It matches the Rfam family "Bacterial large subunit ribosomal RNA", at positions 1 to 456 of the family's 2925-position model. Lineage: Bacteria; Pseudomonadati; Pseudomonadota; Gammaproteobacteria; Enterobacterales; Enterobacteriaceae. The record is from RNAcentral.
GGUUAAGCGACUAAGCGUACACGGUGGAUGCCCUGGCAGUCAGAGGCGAUGAAGGACGUGCUAAUCUGCGAUAAGCGUCGGUAAGGUGAUAUGAACCGUUAUAACCGGCGAUUUCCGAAUGGGGAAACCCAGUGUGUUUCGACACACUAUCAUUAACCGAAUCCAUAGGUUAAUGAGGCGAACCGGGGGAACUGAAACAUCUAAGUACCCCGAGGAAAAGAAAUCAACCGAGAUUCCCCAAGUAGCGGCGAGCGAACGGGGAGCAGCCCAGAGCCUGAAUCAGUGUGUGUGUUAGUGGAAGCGUCUGGAAAGGCGCGCGAUACAGGGUGACAGCCCCGUACACAAAAAUGCACAUAUUGUGAGCUCGAUGAGUAGGGCGGGACACGUGGUAUCCUGUCUGAAUAUGGGGGGACCAU